This 465-nucleotide ribosomal RNA is filed under the name uncultured bacterium. Its description in RNAcentral is "partial 16S ribosomal RNA". It matches the Rfam family "Bacterial small subunit ribosomal RNA", at positions 338 to 795 of the family's 1533-position model. The record is from RNAcentral.
CCUACGGGUGACAGCAGUGGGGAAUAUUGCGCAAUGGGCGAAAGCCUGACGCAGCGACGCCGCGUGAGGGAUGAAGGUCUUCGGAUCGUAAACCUCUGUUAGCAGGGAAGAACGGUCACUGUGCUAACUAGCAGUGAAUUGACGGUACCUGCAAAGGAAGCACCGGCUAACUCCGUGCCAGCAGCCGCGGUAAUCCGGAGGGUGCGAGCGUUAAUCGGAAUUACUGGGCGUAAAGCGCUCGUAGGCGGUAUGGCAAGUCAAGGGUGAAAUCCCCGCGCUCAACGUGGGAACUGCCUUUGAAACUGGCAAACUGGAGUGUGUGAGAGGAAAGUGGAAUUCCAGGUGGAGGGGUGAAAUGCGUAGAUAUCAGGAGGAACAUCAGUGGCGAAGGCGACUUUCUGGCCCGUAACUGACGCUGAGGAGCGAAAGCGUGGGUAGCAAACAGGAUUAGAUACCCCAGUAGUC